UAUUGAAUUUAACUUGUUAAUUGAUAUAUGUGAGAGUCAAAUUUGGAUCGAAUCAAAUUAUUAUCGAGUUUAUUUAAAGAAAUAGGAAAUAUUCAAACCUUACCAGCAACUUUGUUGUUUAUUGUGUCUUUGAUAAGAGUCAACAAUUUAUUAAUUGAGAAAUUUAAUAGUAUUUUGUGGGUUGGUUUGGAUUGGCUUGGAUUGAGAUUUGGGUAUUGGCUGGCUUGGAUUGGCUUGAACUCAUGUUUAAAGUUGGGUUUCAUAAUCCCACUUAUUAUGGGUUAUCGAUUUAGGAUGCGUUUGUUGCACCAGACUAUCUCGAACUGGACUAGCUUCAGGGACUAAGCUGGAUUGGCUUGGACUAGACUAAGCAUGACUAACUUAGUGAAGCGUUUGAUGCAGUGUCGAACUAAGAAGUAGGAUAAUAAAAAUAAUAAAAAUAAUUCUUUUUUUUAUUUUUCUAUUUCUUUUUCCUGUUCUAGAACACCCCUGAAACCACUCUUCCCUCUCAUUUUUUCCGUCCAAACUCCAUACAUUACAAUCACAACUUUUCCUUCAUUCCAAUUGAUAAAGUUCUCUGUCCAAAUUCCACUACUUGCAACCAUAUCUUUCUCCUCCAUUAUAAAGCUCCCAAAACACAAACAAUCAAAAAUUCAAAUUCAAUUUCAAUCGACUGCAGCCAUAGUAGGAUCUUCCUCGGAGGUUUUUUGCAAAAGACAGGUCUUUUAUUAUGGUUGUGGUUAAUGAUCGAGUUGCAGUUGCUGUGGCUGAUGAUUGAGUUGCAACUACUGUGGCUGCUGUGCAUGUAGUCUGAGAUAGCAAAAAACCCGUUUUUGCCGUGUUCGGGUCAACCCAGAUGGCGGAAGGCCCCAAAUCGACGCUGGGUUUGCGGGAUGGUGGAGAUCGACGAGAGUUGUCUCUGCUAUGGUCACUAGAGAAGGGGGUUGCAGCUGCUGCUCAUGUACGAAGGAGAAGGACUGGGUUCGCUGCUUGUAGACGAUGGAGAGGGGACUAGAAAUCCCGUUGUUUUGGGGGGGGUCUCGCUAAGACCUCCUGGUGAGGGACUUAGUCAAGGUAAGUCCUCCUUUGCCCCAUUAAACUUAAUCCUGCCUAGAACAAACAUAGGCCUACACUAAUGUCUAAUCCAGUCCAGUCCAGUGAAACUUAAGGAGGCCAAACAAACGCCCCCUUAAUGUCUUUUCGAUCCAUGAUACACUUAAUCUCACCAAACAAAGGACAACAUUCAUGUCUAUUUUUAUUCUAACUUAUCCUAUCUAAUCGAACCUGCCAAAGAAAGCCUACAUAUACCCAGUUAAGGGCGAAUCCCCACUAUCAUUCGGAGAAUAAAUUCAUAAUAUACCAUAAUCUAAAGAAGUGUCAAUUACAUUUUACAACCUCAAAAAUCUUGGUAGAAUUGUAACCUCAUUCAAUAUAUUUAAACAUUUUAAUCUCAUACAUUACAUAUUAUUGUAUUUCAAUAUCACACAAUUGUUACUUAAUUCAUUAAAUUUGAAGAUGAUGUAUGAGGUUGCAAUUGCACUUAAACAUAAUUUAUCCACUUGCCAUAGUAUUGGCAUCUCAAUAAACAACUAAACCCCUAAAAAUGAGGACCUUGAUCAAGUAACAUGGGUCUGACUUCGGUGUUACGUAGCAUUGAAUGUUACGACUAUUCAUAAGCUCAACUUAUUAUCCUAGGUCAGAACAAGUUAAUAGGAUCCCCUUUUUAAUGUUCUAGUAUUAUAAUACUCUUUAAAGAUCAUCUCCGUAAAUAAAUUAAAACUAAAGUUGUUUAGUUAAUCAAUUUUGUCCAUAUAUUUUUGUAUAGUACCAUGACUAAACAACCUUAGUUUUAAUUGUUUUUUGUUUGUACCAUACUUAGGGCCUCCAUAUUUAGAUCUCGUAUAAAUACUCGGGGAACUCAAAUGUAAUUAUGUAAUAAAUGAAGGGGUAAAUAUAUAAUAAGUGAGGAGCCCUUAUUCUAUAAAAGGACUCCUCAUUCUCCUCAUUAAGGAGGCCAAGUUUUAGGCCAUGGGAAGAGAGCACACAGAAAAUAGGCUAGAAAGCACACUGCCUCUAGCAUUCUUGUAUAUUCACCAUUCAGAGUGAAACAAUAUCAACAUCAGUGUGGACGUAGCCCAAACAUUGGGGUGAACCACGAUACAUCUUGUGUUCUUUACUUUCUUGCAAAUUCACGGUCGGAUUUACGUUGUUCCAAGACCCAUCCGGUUUUGUGCAUCAAUAUUUGGCGCCGUCUGUGGGAAACGAUACUAAAAGUUGUGUUGGUUCUCUUUCAUUUUUUCACCUCUAUCGUGAAUAUGCAAAAUCACAAAAAAAAGCCAUCAACCAGUCCCAUCUCUCUUUCCUCUCACUGACCCACGUUGAAGUCACCUCUUUGCUUUCCUUCUCGUCCGUUCUCUCUGCUCUCUCUGCAACAAUGAGAACACCACCUCAGGCAAACCAAAAAACCCAUCUCCAAAAAUACCCAAAUUCUCUGAAAGUUUCAAACUUUAUGCUUCUUGGGAGCUUUUGAGAUUGUUUCAGAAAUACUAAAUCGUUGUUCUUUUUAAAAGCUUUGACCCACCUGCAAAUCUCUGAUCCUUCGCAGUUCUGACGCCGGAAUUCGAUCUACAUGUA
Molecule: long non-coding RNA, 2634 nt
Filed under: Malus domestica (apple)
Lineage: Eukaryota; Viridiplantae; Streptophyta; Magnoliopsida; Rosales; Rosaceae
Description: long non-coding RNA (MDOM_LNC011866)
Source: RNAcentral